GACGAACGCUGGCGGCGUGCUUAACACAUGCAAGUCGAACGGAAAGGCCAUGCUUUUGUGGGGUGCUCGAGUGGCGAACGGGUGAGUAACACGUGAGUAACCUGCCCUUGACUUUGGGAUAACUUCAGGAAACUGGGGCUAAUACCGGAUAGGAGCUCCUGCUGCAUGGUGGGGGUUGGAAAGUUUCGGCGGUUGGGGAUGGACUCGCGGCUUAUCAGCUUGUUGGUGUGGUAGUGUCUUACCAAGGCUUUGCCGGGUAGGCGGCCUGGGAGGGUGACCGGCCACAUUCGGUCUGAGAUCUGGCCCAGACUCCUCCGGUAGGCAGCAGUGGGGAUUAUUGCACAAUGGGCGGAAGCCUGAUGCAGCAGCGCCGCGUGCGGGAUGACGGCCUUCGGGUAGUAAACCGGUUUCGCAUGUGACGAAGCGUGAGUGACGGUAAUGGGUAAAGAAGCACCGGCUAACUACGU
Molecule: ribosomal RNA, 467 nt
Filed under: uncultured bacterium
Lineage: Bacteria
Description: partial 16S ribosomal RNA
Rfam family: Bacterial small subunit ribosomal RNA
Source: RNAcentral